Non-coding RNA from Chlorocebus sabaeus (green monkey), 275 nucleotides. It matches the Rfam family "Metazoan signal recognition particle RNA". From Rfam's summary of the family: The signal recognition particle (SRP) is a universally conserved ribonucleoprotein. It is involved in the co-translational targeting of proteins to membranes. NCBI's taxonomy places the organism in Eukaryota, Metazoa, Chordata, Mammalia, Primates, Cercopithecidae. The record is from Rfam.
GCCGGGCGCUGUGGUGGGCGCCUGUAGUCCCAGCUACUCGGGAAGCUGAGGCAGGAGAAUGGCGUGAACCCGGGAAGCGGAGCUUGCAGCGAGCCGAGAUCCGGCCCCUUUACCCCCGCCUGGGCGGCAGAACAAGACCCCGUUCCAAAAAAAAANNNNNNNNNNUUUUUUUUUGGAACGGGGUCUUGUUCUGCCGCCCAGGCGGGGGUAAAGGGGCCGGAUCUCGGCUCACUGCAGGCUCCGCCUCCCGGGUUCACGCCAUUCUCCUGCCUCAG